Molecule: long non-coding RNA, 2081 nt
Organism: Triticum aestivum (bread wheat)
Lineage: Eukaryota; Viridiplantae; Streptophyta; Magnoliopsida; Poales; Poaceae
Exons: 6
Source: RefSeq, a predicted model, not a curated record
UCAAUCGGUCGUUGCGCUCCUCCCACCCCCUUGGAAAAAGCUCGAUGCACCCCUAAAAAAAAAAACUCGAUGCGGUCGUCGGCGAGGUUGCGGGGCAGAGCCCAGCCGGCGGAGGCGACGCGGGCGUUGUGGUUUCGCCAUCCCGGUCGCGGGCCAACUCCGUGCGGUAGAGGUUGGUUGGGGCCUCCCGGACCGCACGCCGAUGUAGAUCGACGCCAAUCGUAGUUUGGCUACUCGGCUGUUCGUCGAGCGAAACUGCUCCGCGGUUUGAACGAAGCAAUCAUUCCUCGCUUUGGGAGGAAUCCAUGGCGGAAUGCGGAUGAUGCGGCCCCCUUGCCGGCGGUGAUUAAUGCAGUAUUCAUACUGCUGUGGUCAAUUGAUUCGGCCAGAUCUUUGGAGAUUGGUUAUCACAUUUUUUUUUACUCUCUGGACAGCGAGUGAUGUUCCAAAUUGGCAUUCUUCAUCAGAACUAAGGUAUAAGGCGCGCCUUCAAAACAAGGGAACAGUAAGUUGCCAAGUAACAUGUAUCAAAGAAAUGGAAUGGUUAGCUUCUGUACUUCUUCAAGAAUUUCUGAAAGGAUAUAAUAAACAGGUACCAUGUUACAAAGUUCCCUUUAUUGAUAUCGUUGCAAUCUUUCGCAGCGUGUUAGCCACCUUAUUCUACCAAUAUAUGUUCCAGAAUUACUCGGACCAGUUUGUGUUUAGAUGAGUGUUCCUUUCCUAUUUGCAAUGUUCAUGAUAUCGGUAACUGGUACCGUAACGUUCGGGUGCUGAGUAGGGAUAAAUAAGCGAAUUUUCCAGUUAUUCGGCCGAUAAAUCAGUUAAUCGUCUUUUCGGUGACCCACCGAGUAACGAUUAACUCACUGAGAUGCCGAUUAACUAUCCGAUAUUUGGAACAAUUCCUAUUCAAUUGACUCCGUGAAUAUUUUUAAUGUAUCGGAUAUAAACAGCAAAGUACUUAGAUACCUGAUGUGGCAUAGGUCACAGUUUAUGUACUCUUGUACUACUACUAUAGGUUCUGCUAUUUUACACACAACUAUCUAUGAACAUACUUGCACAUCCAUAUCUAAUGUCAGAUAAAUAUAUAUGCUCAUUUUCCGUUGUUUUAAGGCUCAUCCUCAGGUUCAUUACAUCGAACCAGAUGGUUGCAAUAAUCUCCAUUAUGAACAAUUGUUGGUGUGUUCAUGCUGAUGCUUGGAGAAAUAAAUCAUUUUUCUAAGCUUUGGUUCUUAUUUGUAGAAGUUGGACGCUUAAUUGGACAUCCCUCCUAUAAAAAUGAAUAUUGAUGCUUAAAAAAUACUCGGUUUCUUUAACUAAGCACCUUGCAUUGUAUAAGGCAGUGGUGCGGUUGGCGAUCCUGCACCCGUCAAUACAUAUUCUACGGCCAACUAGCCAAAAUUAACACUAAUGGCUAUUGUCUACUUUUUUUUUGAGGGAAAUGGCUAUUGUCUACUAAUCUGCCUAUGCUGAUGGAGGGCCGGGCCAAGGCAUGUGCAGCCUGUGCUGCCCGGACAGGGCCCCAAGUUUAUAGGGGCCCCGAAUUUCAUAGGCAGCACAUAGGCCCAUCCAUCAAGCGAACCUCUCGUGCAGGAAAAAACAGCCCAUAUGCCCAGCAAUCUCACAGACAGAUCAGCAAAAAGCUUAUAGUUAUGAAAGGGAGUACUAACUUAUGUGCUUUCAACCACACCAAGAUGUGUCCUUAGCGUGAACCUCCUUCAACGUGAACUAACAUGGUCUCCCACAAUUGUGCUUCGAGAAACACAUAUGUGCCUCCAACGUAAACUAACCCAUGCUCUCACCUACGACACGUGGUGGUGCUGAGAUUUGCCACAUGGAGCGCUCUAGCGCUCCCACCGUGGCAGUAAUGCAAAGCGGGUUGUUCCAUCCGGCACAAACCAUCUACACCACACUAGGCAGGAUGAUGAGAAUUUAAUGGAUGACCCAGUUGAUGAAGAAGAAUAAAAGGUGUUGCAUAUAUACCAAGUCAGUCCUCACGGGCUGACUCUACCGCACUUCAAAAAACUGUACGUCUUGAUACUUAACCCACACGUAUAUGUAUAUAUAAGCUGUACAGUGUCCUA